This 22-nucleotide non-coding RNA is filed under the name Mus musculus (house mouse). The record is from RNAcentral. Lineage: Eukaryota; Metazoa; Chordata; Mammalia; Rodentia; Muridae.
UACAGGGAACCGACUCCCCCAC